This 907-nucleotide long non-coding RNA is filed under the name Gossypium barbadense (sea-island cotton). RNAcentral describes it as "long non-coding RNA (GBAR_LNC017320)". Lineage: Eukaryota; Viridiplantae; Streptophyta; Magnoliopsida; Malvales; Malvaceae. The record is from RNAcentral.
AUAUUUGGUAACCCAAACAAUGCGUUGAUUGUUGUCGGAGUCAGGGAUGGUUUGCUUUUGUCGUACUCGAAUGAUUUUUUCGUCGAUUGAGUGAGGGUUGCAUAAAACUCAUGAACAAUGUGUUCAUUAGGAGGCGUUCUGACAUCACAAAAUUAUUUUCGAUUAAGCCCGUCGAUCGAUUUUCGUAUAAAUGACGGCAUGGUGAGACUGUCAUUACAUGUCAGCAUGGAACCUUUGUUUGGGAGCAUCGGUUGACUCUGAAAGAUGGUUUGGAAUCACUGCCUCGCCUUGACACAAUGGAACACCUUAAAGCCUUCAACAUAAGGAGUCGACCAUUUUCUGUUAUGAGACAUGAUUGUGAAGUCAGUUAAUUUGCCUGAAAAUAGAGCUAGUCACAAUGUCGAAGAGUGAAACUAAAAAGAACAACAUUGACUCAAGGGCUGCUGAGAGGCCGGACGGACAAGAAUAAACAUCGACAAUGGAAUAAACACUGGUGUGGAUAGGUGGUUUGCUGUGAUUGUCCGAAGAAUGCUGGUGGAACAUGGUCGAGCGCUGGGGCAGUGGCAUAUUGCUAUUUGAGGGACGCCUAGACAAAAGAUUACACGAGAGUGGCUGCUGGAGGUGCGCCGCAAUGUUGAAAGCUGCUUGGUUCAGUGAAGGAUGAUCAUCGACGAUGAACAGGGGAAUGAUGAUUGUUAAUUACGAGAGGUGGUUCUUUAAGUAUCAAAAGUGUGGCUACAGUUGAAUGAAGAUAAAAAGGGGGGGGGGUUGUUGAAUAAAGACAAAAUAAUGAACAAACAUGAAAAAGAAUAAUAAAACCUCAUUUCUUUUUUUCUAGGUCAAAUCGUCCACACCUUAUGUUGUUUAGGUUACUAUUUUAAUUAGGACUCCUCAUCCUAUAUAUAUA